GAUGAACGCUGACAGAAUGCUUAACACAUGCAAGUCAACUUGAAUUUGGGUUUUUAACUUAGGUUUGGGUGGCGGACGGGUGAGUAACGCGUAAAGAACUUGCCUCACAGCUAGGGACAACAUUUGGAAACGAAUGCUAAUACCUAAUAUUAUGAUAAUAGGGCAUCCUAUAAUUAUGAAAGCUAUAAGCGCUGUGAGAGAGCUUUGCGUCCCAUUAGCUAGUUGGAGAGGUAACGGCUCACCAAGGCGAUGAUGGGUAGCCGGCCUGAGAGGGUGAUCGGCCACAAGGGGACUGAGACACGGCCCUUACUCCUCCGGGAGGCAGCAGUGGGGAAUAUUGGACAAUGGACCGAGAGUCUGAUCCAGCAAUUCUGUGUGCACGAUGAAGUUUUUCGGAAUGUAAAGUGCUUUCAGUUGGGAAGAAACAAAUGACGGUACCAACAGAAGAAGUGACGGCUAAAUACGUG
This 467-nucleotide ribosomal RNA is filed under the name uncultured bacterium. Its description in RNAcentral is "partial 16S ribosomal RNA". It matches the Rfam family "Bacterial small subunit ribosomal RNA", at positions 28 to 507 of the family's 1533-position model. The record is from RNAcentral.